RNAcentral lists this ribosomal RNA (492 nucleotides) under uncultured bacterium. Its description in RNAcentral is "partial 16S ribosomal RNA". It matches the Rfam family "Bacterial small subunit ribosomal RNA", at positions 29 to 507 of the family's 1533-position model. The record is from RNAcentral.
AGUGAACGCUGGCGGUAGGCCUAACACAUGCAAGUCGAACGGCAGCACAGUAAGAGCUUGCUCUUACGGGUGGCGAGUGGCGUACGGGUGAGGAAUACAUCGGAAUCUACUUUUUCGUGGGGGAUAACGUAGGGAAACUUACGCUAAUACCGCAUACGACCUACGGGUGAAAGCAGGGGAUCUUCGGACCUUGCUCGAUUGAAUGAGCCGAUGUCGGAUUAGCUAGUUGGCGGGGUAAAGGCCCACCAAGGCGACGAUCCGUAGCUGUUCUGAGAGGAUGAUCAGCCACACUGGAACUGAGACACGGUCCAGACUCCUACGAGAGGCAGCAGUGGGGAAUAUUGGACAAUGGGCGCAAGCCUGAUCCAGCCAUACCGCGUGGGUGAAGAAGGCCUUCGGGUUGUAAAGCCCUUUUGUUGGGAAAGAAAAGCAGCAGGUUAAUACCCCGCUGUUCUGACGGUACCCAAAGAAUAAGCACCGGCUAACUUCGUG